Molecule: ribosomal RNA, 385 nt
Filed under: uncultured bacterium
Lineage: Bacteria
Description: bacterial SSU rRNA
Rfam family: Bacterial small subunit ribosomal RNA
Source: RNAcentral
GACGAACGCUGGCGGCGUGCUUAACACAUGCAAGUCGAGCGAGGCCCUUCCUUCGGGAAGGUGUCCUAGCGGCGAACGGGUGAGUAACACGUGGGCAACCUGCCCUCAGCUCUGGGAUAACUCCGGGAAACCGGGGCUAAUACCGGAUACGACCUCUAAGGGCAUCCGAAGAGGUGGAAAGUUUUUCGGCUGAGGAUGGGCCCGCGGCCUAUCAGCUUGUUGGUGGGGUGACGGCCUACCAAGGCGACGACGGGUAGCCGGCCUGAGAGGGUGACCGGCCACACUGGGACUGAGACACGGCCCAGACUCCUACGGGAGGCAGCAGUGGGGAAUAUUGCGCAAUGGGCGAAAGCCUGACGCAGCGACGCCGCGUGAGGGACGAAGG